UUGGUCAGCAUGCUAUGCACCGCGCAUCACACUUUAAAUAGUGUUUGAAGUAAACAGUGUUUGAAGUAUAUGGCCACUGUAAUACUGGGAAAUAAGUUCACAUUUUCGCUCCCAUGAAGCUCCCAGCCAAUCAAGAACACAGAGUACCUGAUACAGGGAGGAACAACCACGGAGGGAGACGGACGCAACGUGAGGUUUGCACUGCGGCGAGUUUCUGGGGAAGUGCGGGAAGCACGCAGCCCGCUGCGAUCGCACGGCUGACUCCGCAAGUGUGAAAAGUGGAAUUCAACCUCCCAGCACCAGCGAGCUAGCCGUGAGGACAUGCGAGGGACACCAGGCCCCCGACUGACCUUUGAACUCACUCACCUUUGAACUCCACCACCGGGAAGAAGCAGCCAGCUGUAGAAGCAGAGAGGUGCAGUACGGUCUUCUCCAAAAGGUCGGCCAGCACUGUAGGGAGGGCAGACGUCUUUGUGUUUACACAAAUCCAAGGGUUUUAACAACAGUAAGCUGUUGUUACUGAGGCACGCG
Molecule: long non-coding RNA, 531 nt
Organism: Paramormyrops kingsleyae
Lineage: Eukaryota; Metazoa; Chordata; Actinopteri; Osteoglossiformes; Mormyridae
Source: RefSeq, a predicted model, not a curated record